Molecule: ribosomal RNA, 368 nt
Filed under: uncultured eukaryote
Lineage: Eukaryota
Description: partial 18S ribosomal RNA
Rfam family: Eukaryotic small subunit ribosomal RNA
Source: RNAcentral
CAAUAGCGUAUAUUAAAGUUGUUGCAGUUAAAAAGCUCGUAGUUGGAUUUCUGGCUGGGCGCCGAUGUGACACAAAGUGCUCACAAGGCACCGGCCAUCCUUCUGUAAACUAGGUUAGUCUUUGAUUAGACUGCUUAGGGAUCAGAUAAUUUACCUUGAGAAAAUUAGAGUGUUUCAGGCAGGCUUAGCCGGAAUACAUUAGCAUGGAAUAAUGGAAUAGGACUAUGGUCUCGUUGUUGGUUUGAGGGAUCGCAGUAAUGAUUAAUAGGGAUAGUUGGGGGCAUUAGUAUUUAUUAGCUAGAGGUGGAAUUCUCUAAUUUAAUAAAGACUAACUUAUGCGAAAGCAUUUGCCAAGGAUGUUUUCAUUA